UUUUGAAAACCUCCAAAACCUUCCAUUUUCUAACUCAACAUAUCAGUGGGUUGAGAAGAUUUUCUCUUCAAAACCUUCAAAUAACUUCAAAAAUCUUCCCUUCCUCUUAAAAAACAAAAAAAUUAUAAAGGUUCAAAAAUCAUAAAAAAUAUACUUUAAAAAACUUUACGCUAAUUCCUUCUAAACAGAGUGUAAUUCUUCAUUUUAUAAUAAUAUGAUACUUAGCCGACCCCAAAUUUUUGGG
This 244-nucleotide unclassified non-coding RNA is filed under the name Hevea brasiliensis (rubber tree). The record is from RNAcentral. Lineage: Eukaryota; Viridiplantae; Streptophyta; Magnoliopsida; Malpighiales; Euphorbiaceae.